Molecule: ribosomal RNA, 274 nt
Filed under: uncultured bacterium
Lineage: Bacteria
Description: partial 16S ribosomal RNA
Rfam family: Bacterial small subunit ribosomal RNA
Source: RNAcentral
AUACGUAUGGUGCAAACGUUGUUCGGAAUCACUGGGCUUAAAGAGCACGUAGGCGGUUGAGAAAGUCUGGUGUGAAAUCCCUCGGCUUAACCGAGGAAUUGCAUUGGAAACUUCUCGGCUAGAGUGCAGGAGGGGAGAGUGGAAUUCCUGGUGGAGCGGUGAAAUGCGUAGAUAUCAGGAGGAACGCCGGAGGCGAAAGCGACUCUCUGGCCUGUUACUGACGCUGAGGUGCGAAAGCUAGGGGAGCGAACGGGAUUAGAUACCCGGGUAGUCC